AGCGUAGGCGGAACUACAAGACAGGGGUCAAAUCUCCGGGCUCAACCUGGAACUUGCCUUUGUGACUGUGGUUCUUGAGUAUGGUAGAGGUUGGCGGGAUUUCCGGUGUAGCGGUGGAAUGCGUAGAGAUCGGAAAGAACACCAGAGGCGAAGGCGGCCAACUGGACCAAUACUGACGCUGAGGCUCGAAAGCGUGGGGAGCAAACAGGAUUAGAUACCCUGGUAGUCCACGCUGUAAACGAUGAACACUAGAUGUCGGGAGGGGUUCCUUCCGGUGUCGUCGCUAACGCAGUAAGUGUUCCGCCUGGGGAGUACGCUCGCAAGGGUGAA
Molecule: ribosomal RNA, 330 nt
Filed under: uncultured bacterium
Lineage: Bacteria
Description: bacterial SSU rRNA
Rfam family: Bacterial small subunit ribosomal RNA
Source: RNAcentral